UCUGAUGGGGGCAGUGUUGGUGUCUACCAGGUCUUCCAGCUCAUAAACUCUUCAUCCAAACACCUGAAGGCUCUUCCUUGACCUCAGUCAUGGAGACAGCGAAGAUGUUUUUCCGUCUGCCCAGAGUUUCUCCUGGAUACUUCAGAUGUCUGAAGGCCGGACAGAGUGUGGAGGUGAGAGGAGAUGCGAUGGUGUCUCCCCGCUGGGCCGUGCUGUUGGGGGCAGUUGGCCUUGGACUGUCCGGCUACAGCUCUAGACAACUAACCAUCCACCACAAACCCUGCCCGCGGACCCUCCGCUGAACAGCAACAAUCCAGUGACGGAGUUACCAAAGGCUCACCUGAAGGGUCAUUUACCUUCCGUCCUGCACAGCUUUCUGCCGGUCCGAGAUGAUUUUGAGGGAACUGAGAGCAGUUUGAGAAACGUUCUCACUGAGAAUGAACUUAAAUGACUGGAUUGAGAGCAAAACUAACACCUCAGACACGUCAUGCAGUGCCUUAAUCUCAGUGUGGUUAAAAGUAAUAACACUGUCACUUCACUUAUUAGAAAGCACAGCGACCGAACACGCUAAAAUGAUGGUUCUUCAAGGGUUCUUUAAUAAAGAAAAUGGUUCUGAAUAGAACCAUGAACACCCAAGAACCCGUUUCAUGAUUAAAUGCUUCUUUGUAUUGUGAAAGUGUUCUUCACACCGAUGGAGAACGUUCUGUAGAUGGUUCUUUAUAGAACCUUUUUGAAAAUUGUUUAAUAUAAGAACGAAAAAUGAUUCUUCUAAUGUGACCUUGUAACCUUUUCAAAAACGUUCUAUAAAGAACCAUCUACAGAACGUUCUCCAUCAAUUUGAACACUUUCAUGAAGCAAAGGGUUCUGUGAGCGAUUGUUUCUAUUUGGAACCAAAGAACCCUUGAAGAAACAUCAUUUUGAGUGUAAACUUAAAACAACAAAAUAACCCAUUUUAAAAUGUUUCUAAAUUGUGUGUGUGUGUGUGUGUGUGUGUGUGUGUGUGUUGUAAGAUUUGAUAGUAAAAUAUAAAAGUACAGUGUUGUGUACUGGUUCUAGAUACAGAACAACUUUGGAACAACCUAAAACAGGUCAGUAAACACUUAUUCCCUGACGAAAUGCAAUACACCUAAAACACCAGAACCAUCCCAAUAUGGUAGUGAAACUAAAUAAAAUUAAUUUUUUAAAGAAACAAAUUGUUUUUAUUUUUAUGCCUGACGUUGUUUUGCUUCUUGUUGUUUCAAACCUGCAUUAUGAAAGUCAUUCAGCCCCCGUUCCUUGCCAUUGUGGGCGGAGCUAAACUAUUCAGCUGUGGGCUGAUUAUGCGGAUGUUUGUAAACAUGUUUGUUUUCCGUGAUGAAUUCAAAGCAGGCUGUUUUUGCCGCUUAGUUUCCACAUAUGUUUUUUAUAGACUGGGUAGCAAGUGGUACGUUUUGAAAGUUUAGCAGCGUCUACGUACCACAGCAAACCCUGUAUUUCAAAAGAGUGAGGAAAACUAAGUUUUCUGUGACAUGAGGGGCUUUAAGUGAAGUUAAACUGUGUGCGUUUGUAAAGUUUAUUCUUAUUCAAACUCCACUGAAAGCCUAGAGCUCCUUCCACCUCCUAAAUACUGAGUGAAGCAUUAACCAAUUACGGUUCACACCAGCAGAACAGGCAGAUCAGUGUCAGACGUUCCUGCUGAGGAGCCCAGAAGAAAAGUUACCUAACUGACGUUUCUGUAUACUAAUCAAAACAGAGCCACAGAUGAACUGUUUCUGCCAAAAUUACAGUUGUGACAUUAAAUUACAGAUUAAAAACAGUCAUUAUUAUACUUAUUAUAAAAACCAUGUACUGGACAUCAGCUGUGUUACCACAUUUACAUAUCCACACAUCCUUUUUUAUGGGCAGUCCAUUCCUAUGGGCACUGGCUGCGCUGUCCUAACCACUGAGUCUACUAUUAUACUGCUACCUUUAACCCCUUAACAAUUCAUGUUUAUUUAAUACCAAGUUUUAUCAUUCAGUAACUACAGGGAUUUCAGUGCAAGUUAAUGGAGCUAUUCCUAAGUUAUAGAAGUGUAUAAUAAAGCUUUGGACCUGCCCAUGAGCCCGUGGCUUGUUAGGGAGCUGAUUUAUUUACCCUUUAAGUGCGGUAAUUAUUUAUUCUACCAGGCCUCCAGGUGCAAUACUUGUUCUGUGCAGUAUCCCUCCAACAUUGCUCCCAGUACUGGACACUUUUCUUUAUGGACACUUUUUAUUCUUUUAAUGAACGCUUUAUUUUUAUUCUGUGUAUUUAUGUAUAUCACUACAUUUUAUUUAUUCUAUAAUUUGUAUCUUAGUCUACAUAAGCGUGUUUAUACUUUUAUACCUUAUAGUUUUAACUUUAACUAACCCUUUAAAAAUACCAGAUUGUUACACACUAAGGCUUAUUAUUCUGUAACUA
Molecule: long non-coding RNA, 2416 nt
Organism: Pygocentrus nattereri (red-bellied piranha)
Lineage: Eukaryota; Metazoa; Chordata; Actinopteri; Characiformes; Serrasalmidae
Exons: 3
Source: RefSeq, a predicted model, not a curated record